CGACAUAAUCGGUAGUGACACUUUACGUAUUUGAAUCGAUUAGUAGCUUCCGACUAAUUUAGCCUUCAGACGGCCCUUGGACUGAUUGUGGAUAAUACAAGAAUAUUUUCAUGUUGUCCAUUGACAACACCUUUUGACCUAUAUUAGAAGACAGUUAAGGUGACAACAAAUUCGAAAGCACCGAUUUUAACUUGUAGCAUGUUCGUUAGAAAAGUAAAAAAAUUAGGAAAUAAGUACUCAUUAUUGCAAGGAGAUGAAAUAUUGAAGCAUCAGAAAUGUAUUAAGACAUAGCUAAGAUGACUGCAUAUUGGAGACAACAAAUUUUAACUCUUCAAAAAUGUUUUUAAAGAAAAUUCAAGAUUCAUAGAUAGUAUUAAGAAAAAAAAAUUCAAUUUAAAUUUAUUAAAUUAUUCAAUCUUUUCAAAUUCAAAAUAUGCAAAUGGAAUACAACCUCCAUGUAUGGCUUGGAAACGGGGUCACAAUACUUGUACCAGUCCUGUCGGCUCUCUCUUUCACCCACACAGAGACGCUCACCCGUGAUACCUCAAAGGAGGCAACUGAAAACUGGCCUACAGCUUCACUCCUUAUACUGUAUAUGUCCCUUAUAAAUAUAAGUAGGCAACAGCAAUACUGGAAAAUAGACAAAAUAGGUAACCAUACCAUGAAACUCUACUCAGAAACUUGCACCAAUUUCUUUGCAUAAUUCUGUUUUUAAUAUUUUCAUCAUUUGAGUCGAGUAAUUACCAUGGUUAUGUAAAUGCCUUGUCAAAAUUGAUUUUAUUUUUCCAAGGGCAGAGGUCCGGGUACUUACCGCGGGAUCAGAGAAUUGCUUGGCGGGGAAAUUCCGGCAUCGGCGAUGGGUGAAUGGCUGCGAAUACGGACUUGACUGGGUUGCGAAACCGUUUUGAGCAGCUAAUCCGUUCCCCAUUUGAUUGCAACCAAAGCAUAAUUGAAAUAGGAUCCAUCAUCAUUAUAAAAUGAAUUUUGUUACAAUUACAGCUUAUUUCACAGCAUUGUUGAUUGCCCUCUCACAUUGAAAAGUGGGCCCCGCAAUUAAAAUAAUCUCGAGUCCCACAUUUUGUGAGAGAGUUUUCAAAUAAAGUGUAUAACACUUAUCAUUUUCCUUAUAAAAUUUCCCAAACUAACACUGCAUAUUGUAAUUAGAUUGAAGUCAUGUUAUAUCAGAUUUGACUCCAAAGAGAGUGGCAUAUAUUUGUAUCUGUU
RNAcentral lists this long non-coding RNA (1224 nucleotides) under Olea europaea (common olive). Its description in RNAcentral is "long non-coding RNA (OEUR_LNC000994)". The record is from RNAcentral. Lineage: Eukaryota; Viridiplantae; Streptophyta; Magnoliopsida; Lamiales; Oleaceae.